UGCAAGUCGAGGGGCAUCAGGAAGAAAGCUUGCUUUCUUUGCUGGCGACCGGCGCACGGGUGAGUAACACGUAUCCAACCUGCCGACAAACACUGGGAUAGCCUUUCGAAAGAAAGAUUAAUAUCCGAUAGCAUAUAUUUCCCGCAUGGGUUUUAUAUUAAAGAAAUUCGGUAUGAGAUGGGGAUGCGUUCCAUUAGUUUGUUGGGGGGUAACGGCCCACCAAGCCUUCGAUGGAUAGGGGUUCUGAGAGGAAGGUCCCCACAUUGGAACUGAGACACGGUCCAAACUCC
RNAcentral lists this ribosomal RNA (290 nucleotides) under uncultured Bacteroides sp. RNAcentral describes it as "partial 16S ribosomal RNA". It matches the Rfam family "Bacterial small subunit ribosomal RNA", at positions 56 to 339 of the family's 1533-position model. Lineage: Bacteria; Pseudomonadati; Bacteroidota; Bacteroidia; Bacteroidales; Bacteroidaceae. The record is from RNAcentral.